RNAcentral lists this transfer RNA (74 nucleotides) under Kitasatospora herbaricolor. Its description in RNAcentral is "tRNA-Gln". It matches the Rfam family "tRNA". From Rfam's summary of the family: Transfer RNA (tRNA) molecules are approximately 80 nucleotides in length. Their secondary structure includes four short double-helical elements and three loops (D, anti-codon, and T loops). Further hydrogen bonds mediate the characteristic L-shaped molecular structure. tRNAs have two regions of fundamental functional importance: the anti-codon, which is responsible for specific mRNA codon recognition, and the 3' end, to which the tRNAs corresponding amino acid is attached (by aminoacyl-tRNA synthetases). tRNAs cope with the degeneracy of the genetic code in two manners: having more than one tRNA (with a specific anti-codon) for a particular amino acid; and 'wobble' base-pairing, i.e. permitting non-standard base-pairing at the 3rd anti-codon position. Lineage: Bacteria; Bacillati; Actinomycetota; Actinomycetes; Kitasatosporales; Streptomycetaceae. The record is from RNAcentral.
UCCGCCGUGGGGUAAUUGGCAGCCCGCAGGCCUUUGGAGCCUUGCAGUGAUGGUUCGAGUCCAUCCGGCGGAGC